AUUGAACGCUGGCGGCAGGCCUAACACAUGCAAGUCGAGCGGAUGAAGGGAGCUUGCUCCUGGAUUCAGCGGCGGACGGGUGAGUAAUGCCUAGGAAUCUGCCUGGUAGUGGGGGAUAACGUCCGGAAACGGGCGCUAAUACCGCAUACGUCCUGAGGGAGGAAGUGGGGAAUCUUCGGACCUCACGCUAUCAGAUGAGCCUAGGUCGGAUUAGCUAGUUGGUGGGGUAAAGGCCUACCAAGGCGACGAUCCGUAACUGGUCUGAGAGGAUGAUCAGUCACACUGGAACUGAGACACGGUCCAGACUCCUACGGGAGGCAGCAGUGGGGAAUAUUGGACAAUGGGCGAAAGCCUGAUCCAGCCAUGCCGCGUGUGUGAAGAAGGUCUUCGGAUUGUAAAGCACUUUAAGUUGGGAGGAAGGGCAGUAAGUUAAUACCUUGCUGUUUUGACGUUACCAACAGAAUAAGCACCGGCUAACUUCGUG
This 484-nucleotide ribosomal RNA is filed under the name uncultured bacterium. Its description in RNAcentral is "partial 16S ribosomal RNA". It matches the Rfam family "Bacterial small subunit ribosomal RNA", at positions 30 to 507 of the family's 1533-position model. The record is from RNAcentral.